ACUGUAACCCUGCGUUCACACCAAAAGAUGCAUUUGCUGCCCGAACGCGUUGCCGCCAAAGUUUUGACGCGCUGCAAAUCAAGUUUUGCGGCGCGUCAAAAGUUUUGUGGCGCGUCAAAAGUUGAAAUAUUUCAACUCGAGCAGCAUUUGACGCGCCGCAAAAUACGUGAACGCGCCCUCCGCCCGUGCCCGGCAGCGGGCACGGGCAUGCCGCGCCGCAAAUCAGAUUUUGACGCGCCGCAAAUCAAGUUUUGCUGCCCGUUUUCUCGGCAGCAAAUGCUGCGGCAGCAAAGCAGCAACGCGUCUCUACAUUCACUUUGAAUGGGAUCACGACGCGCGUCAACUUUUUGCAUCUUUUGGUGUGAACGCAGGGUGAGAGUA
This is a long non-coding RNA of Gadus macrocephalus (Pacific cod), 381 nucleotides long. RefSeq lists it as uncharacterized. The record is from RefSeq and is a predicted model, not a curated record. The transcript has 2 exons. NCBI's taxonomy places the organism in Eukaryota, Metazoa, Chordata, Actinopteri, Gadiformes, Gadidae.